This 453-nucleotide ribosomal RNA is filed under the name Eurythenes gryllus. RNAcentral describes it as "partial 16S rRNA". It matches the Rfam family "Bacterial large subunit ribosomal RNA", at positions 1836 to 2575 of the family's 2925-position model. The record is from RNAcentral. Lineage: Eukaryota; Metazoa; Arthropoda; Malacostraca; Amphipoda; Lysianassidae.
AGGGGUAGUGUAUGGUAAGGCCUGCCCAGUGAUUAAUUAAACGGCUGCGGUAUAUUGACCGUGCUAAGGUAGCAUAGUCAUUUGUCUUUUAAUUGGAGGCUGGAAUGAAGGGUUUAACAAAGGAUAGUGUCUUUAUUUUAAAUUUGUAAUUUAUAAUAAGAGUAAAAAUACUCUGGUGUGAUUAAGGGACGACAAGACCCUAAAAGCUUUAUUUUUAAGAUAAGUUUGAGUUUAAUAUAGAAUAUUGAGUUUAACUGGGGUAGUUUUUUUGUAAAAUCUGAGGUUGUAAAAGGCAUGUAAAGUGGGGUUAGGUCCUUUAGAUAAGGAUAAUUUGAGUGAGUUACUUUAGGGAUAACAGCGUAAUAGUCCUAGGGAGAUCGUAUCUAUGGGAUUGAUUGCGACCUCGAUGUUGAAUUAAAAGAUCAGUGUAGAGCAGAAGCUACAGGGUGAGGG